CCUACGGGUGGCAGCAGUGGGGAAUAUUGGACAAUGGGGGGAACCCUGAUCCAGCCAUGCCGCGUGUGUGAAGAAGGCCCUCGGGUUGUAAAGCACUUUCAGUGAGGAAGAACGCCUGGUGGUUAAUACCCAUCAGGAAAGACAUCACUCACAGAAGAAGCACCGGCUAACUCCGUGCCAGCAGCCGCGGUAAUACGGAGGGUGCGAGCGUUAAUCGGAAUUACUGGGCGUAAAGCGCGCGUAGGUGGCUUGAUAAGCCGGUUGUGAAAGCCCCGGGCUCAACCUGGGAACGGCAUCCGGAACUGGCAAGCUAGAGUGCAGGAGAGGGAGGUAGAAUUCCCGGUGUAGCGGUGAAAUGCGUAGAGAUCGGGAGGAAUACCAGUGGCGAAGGCGGCCUUCUGGACUGACACUGACACUGAGGUGCGAAAGCGUGGGUAGCAAACAGGAUUAGAUACCCCGAGUAGUC
Molecule: ribosomal RNA, 466 nt
Filed under: Vreelandella stevensii
Lineage: Bacteria; Pseudomonadati; Pseudomonadota; Gammaproteobacteria; Oceanospirillales; Halomonadaceae
Description: partial 16S ribosomal RNA
Rfam family: Bacterial small subunit ribosomal RNA
Source: RNAcentral